AUGACCACCCAGGACCUCUGCAGAUCCCCAGGUGACCUUCCAGCUCCUGCCCUCCUGUUGAACACCUUCAGUGCCCAGGAGGGACAAAUGGUUUUGGUUCAGUGUGCCAUUGAUGGGCGUUCUCCUGUUACAAGAAUUGUCUUCUGCAAGGAUGGGGUGGAAAUGUCCAGCCUGAAGGCCAUUCAGGGGCAGCUGACCUACAACAUGAUCUUGAAUGUCUCACUGGGAAGCGCGGGCAAGUACACGUGUGGGUACCAGCUCAAGGACCAGAGCAACCAAGUGACGAACUCUGCCCUCAGUGUCCCCCAGGACUUGGCUGUCACAGGCAGCAGCCCCUCACACAAGGCCCAGCUCCCUUCCAGAGGGCCAGCCAUGCCCCUGGAGGUCUGGAUCCUGCGCUCUGCCCUCAGCCUGCUCCUGCUGCUGUCUGCCCCCAUC
RNAcentral lists this long non-coding RNA (438 nucleotides) under Anas platyrhynchos platyrhynchos (common mallard). RNAcentral's name for it is "lncRNA (ENSAPLG00000031139.1)". Lineage: Eukaryota; Metazoa; Chordata; Aves; Anseriformes; Anatidae. The record is from RNAcentral.